UUAGGAUUCUAGUGGCGGACGGGUGAGUAACACGUGAGAACCUGCCUUCAGAAUGGGGACAACAGUUGGAAACGACUGCUAAUACCCAAUGUGCCGAAAGGUGAAAGAUUUAUCGUCUGAAGAUGGGCUCGCGUCUGAUUAGCUAGAUGGUGGGGUAAGAGCCUACCAUGGCAACGAUCAGUAGCUGGUCUGAGAGGAUGAGCAGCCACACUGGGACUGAGACACGGCCCAGACUCCUACGGGAGGCAGCAGUGGGGAAUUUUCCGCAAUGGGCGAAAGCCUGACGGAGCAAUACCGCGUGAGGGAGGAAGGUCCUUGGAUUGUAAACCUCUUUUAUCAGGGAAGAAAAAAAUGACGGUACCUGAUGAAUAAGCAUCGGCUAACUCCGUGCCAGCAGCCGCGGUAAUACGGAGGAUGCGAGCGUUAUCCGGAAUUAUUGGGCGUAAAGCGUCCGUAGGUGGUCAUGCAAGUCUGCCGUUAAAGAAUGGAGCUCAACUCCAUGCAGGCGGUGGAAACUGCAAGACUAGAGUACAGUAGGGGUAGCAGGAAUUCCCAGUGUAGCGGUGAAAUGCGUAGAUAUUGGGAAGAACAUCGGUGGCGAAAGCGUGCUACUGGGCUGAAACUGACACUGAGGGACGAAAGCUAGGGUAGCGAAAGGGAUUAGAUACCCCUGUAGUCCUAGCCGUAAACGAUGGAUACUAGGCGUGGCUUGUAUCGACCCGAGCCGUGCCGAAGCUAACGCGUUAAGUAUCCCGCCUGGGGAGUACGCACGCAAGUGUGAAACUCAAAGGAAUUGACGG
RNAcentral lists this ribosomal RNA (800 nucleotides) under uncultured bacterium. Its description in RNAcentral is "bacterial SSU rRNA". It matches the Rfam family "Bacterial small subunit ribosomal RNA", at positions 84 to 916 of the family's 1533-position model. The record is from RNAcentral.